RNAcentral lists this ribosomal RNA (253 nucleotides) under uncultured bacterium. RNAcentral describes it as "partial 16S ribosomal RNA". It matches the Rfam family "Bacterial small subunit ribosomal RNA", at positions 524 to 776 of the family's 1533-position model. The record is from RNAcentral.
UACGGAGGGGGCAAGCGUUGUUCGGAAUUACUGGGGGUAAAGCGCGCGUAGGCGGCUGGGUAAGUCAGAUGUGAAAGCCCUCGGCUCAACCGGGGAACUGCGUCUGAUACUGCCUGGCUUGAGUCCGGUAGGGGGUAGCGGAAUUCCCGGUGUAGCGGUGGAAUGCGUAGAUAUCGGGAGGAAUACCGAUGGCGAAUGCGGCGACCUGGGCCGGUAGUGAGGCUGAGGCGCGAAAUCUAGGGGAGCAAACAGG